RNAcentral lists this long non-coding RNA (398 nucleotides) under Mytilus galloprovincialis (Mediterranean mussel). Lineage: Eukaryota; Metazoa; Mollusca; Bivalvia; Mytilida; Mytilidae. The record is from RNAcentral.
GUCGGCGUCGUCCACAAAUAUUCACUCUGUGGUUAAAGUUUUUGAAAUUUUAAUAACUUUCUUAAAAUAUCCUGGAUUUUUACCAAACUUGGACAGAAGCUUGUUUAUGAUCAUAAGUUAGUAUCCAGAAGUAAAUUUUGUAAAAAUAAAAUUCCAUUUUUUCCGUAUUUUACUUAUAAAUGGACUUAGUUUUUCUACUGGGAAAUAUUACAUUCACUCUGUGGUUAAAGUUUUUAAAAUUUUAAUGACUUUCUUAAACUAUCCUUGGUUGGUACCAAACAUGGACAGAAGCUUGUUUAUGAUCAUAAGAUAGUAUCCAGAAGUAAAUUUUGUAAAAAAGAUAAAUCCAUUUUUCCAAAUUUAACUUUUAAAUGGACUUAGAUUUUCUGCCAGGAAAC